UAGUUCCAUUCCACUAUCCGGCGAAGGAGAUACCCAGAAGAGAUGGCGGCCAGAGGUAGUUUUCAAUCAGCUUCAACGGGAGGUGGUGGCGGGGGAAUGGGACCCGGACCCCCGGUACAAGGUGGAGGACCAGGCAUGGGACCUGGAACUCCUGGAGGAAGGAUGGGACCCUCAUCGGGCGCACAGAACCACCUCUAUCGUUCUCCGAUGCCCGGGCCUGGAUACCCGAGACCAGGUGGGAUGCCCCCAUCCAGCCGUAUGACCCCCCAGGGCCCGCCCAUGGGGCCUCCAGGCUACGGCUCCAGCCCUGUGUCCCGACCAGGGAUGCCCAGUGUCAUGGACCCCUCCCGUAAAAGGCCGGCCCCCCAGCAGAUCCAGCAGGUCCAACAGCAGCGCAACCAACACACCAAGAAGAAGAAGAUGGCGGAUAAGAUUUUACCUCAGAGGAUCCGGGAGCUGGUGCCAGAGUCUCAGGCCUACAUGGACCUGCUGGCGUUUGAGAGGAAGCUGGAUCAGACCAUCAUGAGGAAACGUCUGGACAUCCAGGAGGCACUCAAGAGACCCAUCAAGCAAAAGCGAAAGCUUCGUAUCUUCAUAUCCAACACGUUCAACCCUGCCAAGCCCGACGCAGAAGACGGGGAUGGCACUGUAGCAUCGUGGGAGUUGCGUGUCGAAGGACGCCUGCUUGAAGAUACUGCUGUGUCCAAGUAUGAAGCCACCAAGCAGAAGAGAAAGUUCUCUUCCUUCUUCAAGUCUCUGGUCAUCGAGUUGGACAAGGACCUCUAUGGGCCUGACAAUCACUUGGUCGAGUGGCACCGGACUGCGACCACUCAGGAGACAGAUGGGUUCCAGGUGAAGAGGCCAGGUGAUGUCGGGGUACGCUGCACUGUCCUGCUGAUGCUGGACUACCAGCCCCCUCAGUUCAAGUUGGACCCUCGCCUGGCCCGUAUGUUGGGGAUCCACACCCAGACCAGGCCGGUCAUCAUCCAGGCACUUUGGCAGUAUGUUAAGACCCACAAGCUGCAGGACCCCCACGAGAGAGAGUUCAUCAACUGUGACAAGUACCUGCAGCAGGUGAGAGAGUUCAUCAACUGUGACAAGUACCUGCAGCAGGUGAGAGAGUUCAUCAACUGUGACAAGUACCUGCAGCAGGUGAGAGAGUUCAUCAACUGUGACAAGUACCUGCAGCAGGUGAGAGAGUUCAUCAACUGUGACAAGUACCUGCAGCAGGUGAGAGAGUUCAUCAACUGUGACAAGUACCUGCAGCAGGUGAGAGAGUUCAUCAACUGUGACAAGUACCUGCAGCAGGUGAGAGAGUUCAUCAACUGUGACAAGUACCUGCAGCAGGUGAGAGAGUUCAUCAACUGUGACAAGUACCUGCAGCAGGUCAGUGAGCAGCAAAUGGCCCCGUGUGGCUUAGUUAGUAGGGGACGGCGCUUGUAACGGCAGGGUUGUGGGUUUGAUUCCCAUGCGGGACCAGUACAAAACCGUGUCCUAUGUUCACAGCUGGAAGAUACAAGGCUUUCUUAGGGAGAGUAUCUUUUCCCCACGUUUUGUAUCUGUAAUGUUAAGGCACAGUUAAAUAAUCUAAUGGACGUUAUGCAAUGUAAUUUGCCAUUUCAUAAUCUUUAUGGUUAAGGGUAAAUGGGCCAGGGAAUACUGUCCUUAGCCUAAACACACUCUAGACCUCCAACAAAUAGCAAUCCUUAUGAACUGUCCUUAGCCUAAACACACUCUAGACCUCCAACAAAUAGCAAUCCUUAUGAACUGUCCUUAGCCUAAACACACUCUUAGACCUCCAACAAAUAGCAAUCCUUAUGAACUGUCCUUAGCCUAAACACACUCUAGACCUCCAACAAAUAGCAAUCCUUAUGAACUGUCCAAGGCUGAAACAUACAACGCACAAUGCUGAAUCUUUGCAUGUCUGGUUCUUGAGUAAAUUAAUAAGGUUCUGUUUAUCUAUUUUGUUCUAGAUCUUUGAGGCCCAGCGUAUGAAGUUCUCCGAGAUCCCCCAGCGUCUCCAUGCUCUCCUGAUGCCUCCAGAACCCAUCAUUAUUAACCAUGUCAUCAGGUAGGCCUCUAACCCAUUAUUAACCAUGUCGUCAGGUAGGCCUCUAACCCAUCAUUAACCAUGUCGUCAGGUAGGCCUCUAACCCAUUAUUAACCAUGUCAUCAGGUAGGCCUGGUAGGCCUCUAACCCAUCAUUAACCAUGUUGUCAGGUAGGCCUCUACCCCAUCAUUAACCAUGGCGUCAGGUAGGCCUCUACCCCAUCAUUAACCAUGUCGUCAGGUAGGCCUGGUAGGCCUCUAACCCAUCAUUAACCAUGUCGUCAGGUAGGCCUCGUCAGUAGGGUCAACGCCUCGUUUUGUCCUCGUCACUAGGGUCCAGAGUGUUUGCGUGGUCCUGGGAAAAACUCUGGGCCCUUUUUCAUAACUCGAAGCUCAGAUCAGAUCAUAUCAAUGCCUAAGGAAUUGUUCAAGUGUCUCAGGAACCACAUUAAUAUGAUAUAGAACUCUUCUGAGAUGUGCAGCGUGACUGCAAGAAAUGACAGGCUGGAACGAACCCAAUAAAAUGGACUCUGCAUGAACUAAAUUCUGUCUCUACAGAUAGACGACUGCAUGAUCUAACUCUCUCUCUGUGUCUACAGUGUGGAUCCCAACGACCAGAAGAAGACGGCCUGCUAUGACAUCGAUGUGGAGGUGGACGACACUCUAAAGACCCAGAUGAACUCCUUCCUCCUUUCCACCGCCAGCCAGCAGGAGAUAGCUGGUCUGGACAACAAGAUCCAUGAGACCAUAGAGACGAUCAACCAGCUGAAGACCCAGAGAGAGUUCAUGUUGAGCUUCGCCAGAGACCCCCAGGGCUUCAUCAACGACUGGCUGCAAUCACAGUGCCGGGACCUCAAGACUAUGACUGAUGUUGUUGCGAACCCAGAAGAAGAGAGGAGAGCCGAGUUCUAUUUCCAACCCUGGGCCCAGGAGGCCGUGUGUCGCUACUUCUACUCCAAGGUCCAACAGAGGCGUCAGGAGCUGGAACAGGCCCUGGGAAUCAGAAACACCUAGACGACAAGAUUAUGUCAAAGAAGAGCAGGUCAACAGAGUAAAAGAAGUGGCUGUUCUCUCUGGGAGGACGAAAAGAGAAGUUUGGGACAUUCAUAUUUAUAAAUACACCGCUGAUUUUUGCAAAACGCUUAGAUAAAACAUCUUAGAUAUAGACUGCUUUACUCUUGAUGGUAACUGUAGGAUAUAUUUUAACAUCAACUAGCAGCUGUUAUGGUUAUGUAUAAAUGUUUGAUUGCUACUUACUUUUUUAUAUUUGUCCCAUUGUCCCACUAAAAUAUAUUUUGACUUAUUUUCUUUCAAUGGUCUAUCUCUGUUUAACCCCCAAAGCAUUUAUUUUCUGUGCUGAACUCUCUCACAGAUCUUGAAUCUAUAUAUUCAGGCCUAAGUGAGGUUGAAAUUACCCCCAACUAAGUAUUGAUGCUACUUCACAAUAACUAAUAUUGGUUAUUUUAAGUGUAAGGGGCUUAAAUUAAAGUUGUAACAUUUGGCUAAGGUGAAAGAGCAUUGGGUUAAUUUUAAAUGCUUGGGACUAUCUAUCUACCCCGCUCUGAGUCCAAACUAACUCAUAACUGAUCAGGUGAUAGCCUACACACACUACCUACGCACACUACCAUUCUGCCUUUGGUCUGGAAUUGAUAUUCAGUGUUUGUUUGGUAUUGAUAGGGUUGUGUGAGUAUUCCGUGGCCUUUUAUUGCCUCGCUGGCUGUUCGUUUCUUACCGAGAUUAUUUUAAAUGCUUCUAGAAUGUUGUGUACCUCCAAAAAUUCUACUUUUAGAAUCUUGUGUGCUUCAAAAAUUCUACUGUUAGAAUCUUGUGUGCUUCAAAAAUUCUACUUUUAGAAUCUUGUGUGCUUCAAAAAUUCUACUUUUAGAAUCUUGUGUGCUUCAAAAUUCCCCCUAUGAACACUUCAAAGCAAUGGUAAUGACAUGCAAGGCUGUACAAUGUUGUGAAACUUCACUAUAUUGGUUAGUUACUCAUUUAAGUGGCCUUUUCAUUUUAAACUAUUUUGGUGGAGCUUUGUUUGUAUAAAAAAAUAAAAAGUUUAGAAAGUAUGAAGUCUUGUUUAGUUAGAAGUAAAGAAUAUUAAGGAAGUAGUGUUUAGUAGUAAUUACCUCAAGUUGAUCUAGUUUUUGUAAAUAAUGAACAGAAUAAUCUGAUGUGAAGGGGAAAAUGUCUGUUUUUAAAGGACAUACCAUCAAUUUGACUCAUUGUCUUAAUGCUCCGUUUGCCCAAGACGUUCCCCCUCAAGUGACCCCAAUGGUUUAAUCCAGAACAUUCUCUAUAACCUAGCAGCAAGUUGCAGUUGUUUGUUGGUCCUGUGUGGAAGAGGGAGAACAACGUUUUAGGCUUCUACUGUUCUCUGUUCAGAUCAAUUGCUCUGGGUGUUCCUUCUUUAUUUGUUAGUGUGCAGAAGCUAUCAACACCUUAGGAAGAGAAGCGUAGAGCUGGGUUCACUUUCUUUAGCUGUGACAUUCACGAAUUUCAAGCUUUUUUUGCUAGCAUGGUAGACUGCUUUAGGCUUGUAGGUAUUUCUGUUUAGAUAUGACAUGUAGAGGAUGUAAGAAGCUUUAUCGUUGUGCUCAAUUCAGUAUCUGUUCAGUAAGUUCAUUUAAAUACAUAUAUUUUCAAUAGGUAUUUUUAUUUGGUUUUUCCAAUAUUGAGUGUAAUUUCAAUCAAUGUUCUGAUUUCAUGCUGAAUUGACCCCGAACCUGUAAAAGGAUGAUACUGUUGACAGAUCUUUAAAUCUUCAGACAUGAAUUGUAUUUUUUAUUUCAUGGACCAAACCUAUUUUCUUCCUGUAUGUUUUGAACCUUGUGCUAUAAUAAAGGAUAUCGUCAAUGAUAA
Oncorhynchus kisutch (coho salmon) is the source of this 4908-nucleotide RNA transcript. It is a transcript of the gene named SWI/SNF-related matrix-associated actin-dependent regulator of chromatin subfamily D member 1, with no coding region annotated. The transcript is spliced from 11 exons. The record is from RefSeq and is a predicted model, not a curated record. NCBI's taxonomy places the organism in Eukaryota, Metazoa, Chordata, Actinopteri, Salmoniformes, Salmonidae.